GCUGAGUGGAGGAGCAGAGAGGGAGCGUGCGCCCAGGCACGCUUCGGGGGUGCGACGCAACUGCCGCCGGCCGGCGAUUUGCCGCCAACCGCCCUAACGGCCCAAACAAUGUUAAUAGCUUUCGGAGUCUGGCGGUGUGUUCAGGCGAUCCUCUUCCAGUGUUCCUUCUUCAUCGUGCUCGGAGGGGGAAAAAUGAGAUAGAAUCUCCCUAUGCAAGUCCAGCGUGGCCCUGAAGUCAUGAUCCUCCUGCCUCCACCUUCCAUGGGCUGGGAUUACAGGUGUGCAUCAUCAGAGCAACUUAAAUAUUUUUAAGUAACAUAUUCUUACAACUUAUAUUGCCACUGUUAAAGGGAGAAAUGAAAUAUAAGUGAUGCUUUCAAGUACACAAACUGUUGAAAUCCAGGCAUGUUUGAAAAGAAGCAACAUGGACACAGCUAAGAUUUUAUCCCAGAGCCACAGCAGUGUAAAGUCAGAUGGUCCGUACAUCACUCGCGUGACUUAGAGAAAAGAAGGAAGCAGAAAACUUUUGUAACCCGAGGCAAAGUUGCAUGUUUUCUUCAUAGUCCAUACAAUGUCCUAUAUGAAUGUUUUUAAGUAAUUUUACACAAAUCUUAACUUUUAAGAUGUAACAAUUGAAACACUGAGUUAAUGAAAUGCAAACUAAAUUUUAUAGCUAAAGAAAUAGAGUGGGGCUGGAGAGAUGGCUCAGAGGUUAAGAGCACCGAUUGCUCUUCAAGAGGUCCUGAGUUCAAUUCCCAGCACCCACAUCGUGGCUUACAACCAUCUGUAAUAAGAUCUGGCAACCUCUUCUGUGUACAUAAUAAAUAAAUAAAUCUUUAAAAAAAAAAGAUACACAUGACUAGGAAGAAAGCUAAGGAUUAAUUGGAUUUUAAAAAAUAGAGCAUUUCUAGUAAAUAUUUUCUCAAAUGAGACAAGAACUGUAAUGACUGAGACUGCUCCCUCAUUUUCUGCUUCUCCCUCUGAAAUAAAAGUCUAUUUGGGCAAUUGUA
Long non-coding RNA from Peromyscus eremicus (cactus mouse), 1010 nucleotides. RefSeq lists it as uncharacterized. The transcript is spliced from 2 exons. NCBI's taxonomy places the organism in Eukaryota, Metazoa, Chordata, Mammalia, Rodentia, Cricetidae. The record is from RefSeq and is a predicted model, not a curated record.